Molecule: long non-coding RNA, 1731 nt
Organism: Podarcis raffonei (Aeolian wall lizard)
Lineage: Eukaryota; Metazoa; Chordata; Lepidosauria; Squamata; Lacertidae
Exons: 2
Source: RefSeq, a predicted model, not a curated record
AUUCCCCCCCAGCCUCACACCUCCACAGAGAUCCCCACCCAACACCAGUCCAGGUGACAUAAAAAGACACUCCCCAUUACCCAACAAUCUACAACUCACUCUCAGCACCCCUCCCCACGCCUUACUAAGUAAAAUAAUUGCCCUUGUUGCAAGGAUUUUUAAGGUACCAGUGACCCACUCAAAUUGUGUCCCAGAAUUGACAGACGCAGCAGUGGAGAAAAAGAAAGUGAUAUUUAUUGCUGAGCAAUAAGUGACCCAGUGGAAUCCUUUCCCAAAGACUGGGCCCCGGGCUCCAGCGCCCUGAGGCUUUAUACCUGAGAAGAAAAAGGAACUUCGGCCCUUACGCUCCUACGCGGCCAUCUGCUAUACCGGGACAUUCUGCGGUUAGCAUCUUCCUGUUUGAGCUACUCGGGACCCUGUCUGGACAGGGGGGAAAGUGCCAUCACAGCAGAUUUAUUGCUUCCCCCUUAUGUUAGCGAGACAUUGAGAAGAACAAGGAAGGGAACUGGGGCAGAGUUCAUUUCGGAUUCUUCCAAUCUAAGCAAUUUGCUAUAAGCUUUUGCAGAAGCCGUCAUGAGUCAAACAUGGAUUAUAUAAAAAUCAUUAUAAGGAUAUAUGGUUAUAUGGCUAACUGAUUAUAUGAAAAGCAUAAGGGUGAAAUUCCUCCAGGUGGUCCUGCUUCACCCUAACCUCAAUAAAACAAUCCACAAACAGGCUGAAAUCUGACAAACAAGCAGCACAUUGGGACUACCAGAGCAUAUCAACACCCUCAUCUCUACCCCAACAUACCAGUGAUGUUAAUAACAUUAGCAACAUUGCUUAUGGACCCUAUAUCCAAGAUAGGCGUCACAAAGACGGUUGGAGGAUGGAUGGCGGCCAACAGAUUGAGGUUGAAUCCUGACAAGACAGAAGUACUGUUUUGGGGGGACAGGAGGCGGGUGGGUGUGGAGGACUCCCUGGUCCUGAAUGGGGUAACUGCCCCUGAAGGACCAGGUGCGCAGCCUGGAAGUCAUUUUGGACUCUCAGCUGUCCAUGGAGGCACAGGUCAAUUCUGUGUCCAGGGCAGCUGUUUAUCAGCUCCCUCUGGUACGCAGGCUGAGACCCUCCCUGCCUGCAGACUGUCUCGCCAGAGUGGUGCAUGCUCUGGCUAUCUCCUGCUUGGACUACUGCAAUAUGCUCUACAUGGGGCUAUCUUUGAAGCUGAUCCGGAAACUACAACUAAUCCAGAAUGCGGCAGCUAGACUGGUGAAUGGGAGCAGCUGCCGAGACCAUGUAACACCGGUCUUGAAAGACCUACAUUGGCUCCCAGUGCGUUUCCGAGCACAAUUCAAAGUGUUGGUGCUGACCCUUAAAGCUCUAAACUGCCUCGGUCUAAUAUAUCUGAAGGAACGUCUCCACCCCCGUUGUUCUGCCUGGACAAUGAGGUCCAGCACCGAGGGCCUUCUGGCGGUUCCCUCACUGCGAGAAGCCCAGUUACAGGGAACCAGGCAGAGGGCCUUCUCGGUAGUGACGCCCGCCCUGUGGAACGCCCUCCCACCAAAUGUCAAAGAGAAGAACAACUACCAGACUUUUAGAAGACAUCUGAAGACAGCCCUGUUUAGGGAAGCUUUUAAUGUUUGAUGCAUUAUGAUACUUUAAUAUUUUGUUGGAAGCCGCCCAAAGUGGCUGGGGAAGCCCAGCCAGAUGGGCGGGGUAUAAAUAAUAAAUUAUUAUUAUUAUUAAGACACUUAA